This 162-nucleotide ribosomal RNA is filed under the name uncultured bacterium. Its description in RNAcentral is "partial 16S rRNA". It matches the Rfam family "Bacterial small subunit ribosomal RNA", at positions 355 to 511 of the family's 1533-position model. The record is from RNAcentral.
UAGGGAAUCUUCCACAAUGGGCGAAGCCUGAUGGAGCAACGCCGCGUGUGUGAUGAAGGCUUUCGGGUCGUAAAGCACUGUUGUAUGGAAGAACAGCUAGAAUAGGAAAUGAUUUUAGUUUGACGGUACCAUACCAGAAAGGGGCGGCUAAAUACGUGCCAG